RNAcentral lists this ribosomal RNA (785 nucleotides) under uncultured bacterium. RNAcentral's name for it is "bacterial SSU rRNA". It matches the Rfam family "Bacterial small subunit ribosomal RNA", at positions 8 to 796 of the family's 1533-position model. The record is from RNAcentral.
AGAGUUUGAUCCUGGCUCAGGAUAAACGCUGGCGGCGUGCCUAACACAUGCAAGUCGAACGCACUUCUUUCGGGAAGUGAGUGGCGCACGGGUGAGUAACACGUGGGUACCUACCCUACAGGUGAGGAAUACCGCCGAGAAAUCGGCGACAAGACCGCAUAGGCUCGGCUCUCUCGCGAGAGGGAGGCGAGCAAAGCUUUGUCUCGCAAGAGGCGGGGUGCCUGAGGAUGGGCCUGCGGCUGAUUAGCUGGUUGGUGGGGUAAAAGCCUACCAAGGCGACGAUCAGUAGCUGGUCUGAGAGGAUGAUCAGCCACACUGGGAUUGAGAACGGCCCAGACUCCUACGGGGGGCAGCAGUGAGGAAUUUUCCGCAAUGGACGAAAGUCUGACGGAGCAACGCCGCGUGCAGGACGAAGGUUUUCGGAUCGUAAACUGCUUUUCUCGGGGAAGAGGAACUAAGGACGGUACCCGAGGAGGAAGCCCCGGCUAACUACGUGCCAGCAGCCGCGGUAAUACGUAGGGGGCGAGCGUUGUCCGGAGUUACUGGGCGUAAAGCGCACGCAGGCGGUUGGCCACGUUCCCGCUGACAAUGGUCGGCUUACCUGAUCGGGGUGCGGGAAAACGAGCCGACUGGAGGGCCAGAGAGGGAGACGGAAUUCCGGGUGGAGUGGUGAAAUGCGUAGAUAUCCGGAGGAACACCAAUGGCGAAGGCAGUCUCCUGGCUGGUUCCUGACGCUCAGGUGCGAAAGCGAGGGGAGCGAACGGGAUUAGAUACCCCGGUAGUCC